Molecule: ribosomal RNA, 227 nt
Filed under: uncultured bacterium
Lineage: Bacteria
Description: partial 16S ribosomal RNA
Rfam family: Bacterial small subunit ribosomal RNA
Source: RNAcentral
CCCUAAAAGCCAUCCCAGUUCGGAUUGCAGGCUGCAACCCGCCUGUAUGAAGUUGGAAUCGCUAGUAAUCGCGGAUCAGCAUGCCGCGGUGAAUACGUUCCCGGGCCUUGUACACACCGCCCGUCACACCAUGAGAGUCGGGAACACCCGAAGUCCGUAGCCUAACCGCAAGGGGGGCGCGGCCGAAGGUGGGUUCGAUAAUUGGGGUGAAGUCGUAACAAGGUACC